CGUCUAUAUACGUAUAGCAUAUCAAUAAGCGGAGGAAAAGAAACUAACAAGGAUUCCCUUAGUAACGGCGAGUGAAGCGGGAAGAGCUCAAAUUUGAAAUCUUCAAGGUUUACCUUGACGAAUUGUAGUUUAAAGAAGUGUUUUCUGUUAGAGGAGUAGCAAAAGUUCCUUGGUAUGGGACAUCAUAGAGGGUGAGAAUCCCGUAUUUGGUUAUUCUUUCUAGCUCUGUGAUACACUUUCAAAGAGUCGGAUUGUUUGGGAAUGCAGUCCAAAAUGGGUGGUAAAUUUCAUCUAAAGCUAAAUAUUGGCGAGAGACCGAUAGCGAACAAGUACCGUGAGGGAAAGAUGAAAAGAACUUUGAAAAGAGAGUUAAACAGUACGUGAAAUUGUCAAAAGGGAAGCGUUUGACACCAGUGUUGUUUUUCCGAAAAUCAAUUAAGAACGGCUUGAUUUUGUGUUGUAUUGACCUUAUCAGCUUUCUUCACUCUUUUUCGAGUCUUUCUUAAUGCACUUUUCGGUUAACAAGUCAACAUCAAUUUCUUUUGUUGUAAAAGGGUAUUUGGAAGGUGGCUUUCUUUUCGGAGAAAGUGUUUAUAGCCUUAUACCUCUACAAUCGGAGAGAUUGAGGUCUGCAGCGUAGAUCCUUCGGGGCUAGAUACACUUGUGCUAAGUUAUAGCUUUUCAUAGACAACUUGUUGACUAUGUUUAGUCAUGUAGCUUACCCGCUUGUGCUAUUUUACCUACGCUUAGGAUGUUGAGUCAUCACACAUCUCU
Molecule: ribosomal RNA, 774 nt
Filed under: uncultured Neocallimastigales
Lineage: Eukaryota; Fungi; Neocallimastigomycota; Neocallimastigomycetes; Neocallimastigales
Description: partial large subunit ribosomal RNA
Rfam family: Eukaryotic large subunit ribosomal RNA
Source: RNAcentral